UUAUUGUUUUUAUAAGAUCAUCAAGUUUGAGAUCAGGUAUGAGAAUGUCAAUCUGCCAGUUAAGAGGAAAUAACAUUUCUGUAUUAGGAAAUAACAUUUCUGUAUUAACAUAAUGAAUUUUAUUGGUCGUGUUCAUCAUUGAAUGAAAAUGGUGCUGUUUUUCAUUUUCAUGCUGUUGAUUACAUUAGAGGUUGGAAGCAUCAAAAUCAUAAGACUUUGCACUCAAAUUAUAGAAAAGGAUCAAUGUUUAAACUUGUUUUGCAUAUUUCUUUCAUUAUGAG
This 281-nucleotide long non-coding RNA is filed under the name Manihot esculenta (cassava). RNAcentral's name for it is "long non-coding RNA (MESC_LNC009370)". Lineage: Eukaryota; Viridiplantae; Streptophyta; Magnoliopsida; Malpighiales; Euphorbiaceae. The record is from RNAcentral.